UGGGGAAUAUUGCACAAUGGGCGCAAGCCUGAUGCAGCAACGCCGCGUGAACGAUGAAGGUCUUCGGAUCGUAAAGUUCUGUUGCAGGGGAAGAUAAUGACGGUACCCUGUGAGGAAGCACCGGCUAACUACGUGCCAGCAGCCGCGGUAAUACGUAGGGUGCGAGCGUUGUCCGGAAUUACUGGGCGUAAAGAGCUCGUAGGCGGUUUGUCACGUCGUCUGUGAAAUCCUAGGGCUUAACCCUGGACGUGCAGGCGAUACGGGCUGACUUGAGUACUACAGGGGAGACUGGAAUUUCUGGUGUAGCGGUGGAAUGCACAGAUAUCAGGAAGAACACCGAUGGCGAAGGCAGGUCUCUGGGUAGUAACUGACGCUGAGGAGCGAAAGCAUGGGUAGCGAACAGG
Molecule: ribosomal RNA, 404 nt
Filed under: Verrucomicrobiota bacterium
Lineage: Bacteria; Pseudomonadati; Verrucomicrobiota
Description: Verrucomicrobia bacterium partial 16S ribosomal RNA
Rfam family: Bacterial small subunit ribosomal RNA
Source: RNAcentral